Dipodomys ordii (Ord's kangaroo rat) is the source of this 72-nucleotide non-coding RNA. NCBI's taxonomy places the organism in Eukaryota, Metazoa, Chordata, Mammalia, Rodentia, Heteromyidae. The record is from Rfam.
UGUGAUGUAGCUCAGUGGCAAAGCGCUUGCCUAGCAAGCACAACGUCCUGGGUUCGAUCCCCAGUACCAAAA